This 28-nucleotide small RNA is filed under the name Bombyx mori (domestic silkworm). RNAcentral describes it as "ovarian small RNA-15639". Lineage: Eukaryota; Metazoa; Arthropoda; Insecta; Lepidoptera; Bombycidae. The record is from RNAcentral.
GACUGGGUAAACCGCCUCGACGGUCCGU